This 776-nucleotide ribosomal RNA is filed under the name uncultured crenarchaeote. RNAcentral's name for it is "bacterial SSU rRNA". It matches the Rfam family "Archaeal small subunit ribosomal RNA", at positions 559 to 1335 of the family's 1478-position model. The record is from RNAcentral. Lineage: Archaea; Thermoproteati; Thermoproteota.
UUAACUGUCCGUAUGCUAGGGAUACUGCUAUGCUAGAGGGCGGGAGAGGUCUGAGGUACUACAGGGGUAGGGCUGAAAUCUUAUAAUCCUUGUAGGACCACCAGUGGCGAAAGCGUCAGACUGGAACGCGCCUGACGGUGAGGGACGAAAGCCAGGGGAGCGAACCGGAUUAGAUACCCGGGUAGUCCUGGCCGUAAACGAUGCAUACUAGGCAAUGGUGCGGCUAUGAGCCGCAUCAGUACCGUAGGGAAACCGUUAAGUGUGCCGCCUGGGAAGUACGGUCGCAAGGCUAAAACUUAAAGGAAUUGGCGGGGGAGCACCACAAGGGGUGAAGCCUGCGGUUCAAUUGGACUCAACGCCGGGAAACUUACCAGGGGAGACAGCAGAAUGACAGUCAGGUUGACGACCUUACUCGACGAGCUGAGAGGAGGUGCAUGGCCGUCGCCAGUUCGUGCUGUGAGGUAUCCUGUUAAGUCAGGCAACGAACGAGAUCCGCGCCUUUAUUUGCCAUCAAGAAGUCACGACUUCGUUGGGAACACUAAAGGGACCGCCGUCGAUAAGACGGAGGAAGGAGCGGGCAAAGGCAGGUCAGUAUGCCCCGAAACCCCUGGGCUACACGCGGGUUGCAAUGGUGCGAACAAUGGGCUGUAACUCCGAAAGGAGAAACCAAUCCCGAAAUCGCAUCUCAGUGGGGAUUGUCGACUGUAACUCGUUGACAUGAACGUGGAAUCCCUAGUAAUCGCGUGUCACCAUCGCGCGGUGAUACGUCUCUGCUC